UAGCUUUGCUCCAGUUUGCCAAUGUAUAGCUGAAUAUGAGCCAUCUACUUGCUGGAAGUGGUCACAUAUGGGGUAACUUUUAGUGGCAGGGUGAAGUAAUGGUACUGGCAUUUGUAUUACUGAAAGUACAGUACAUACUUUGUGUUAUUUUGCAUGCUCUCUAUGUGUUCUCGUCUUGGCAGGGGAUGCUUGGUGAUGACUCCUUAAAUGCUCUGAGUAAUAAUUGAGAAUACAUAGACAAUGUCAAAUUUAAGUGUGAUAUUUGUAUGUCAUAUUUACUCCACAAUAACUUUUUAUGUGUUUUUCUCAUUCUUUUUACAUAGACGUAAUGAUUUCUUUAUGCCGCAAUGUUACUUAUGUCAUUUGGAUUUGGACAUGCCGCAGUGUUACUUCGAUCUCUGGAUGGUUGGUGGCCACCUUAAUUAGAAUCAUUAGGGGUAAUGUAGUUGCAAUGCAGUAUCUAUGUGUGGGCUACCGGAUGGAGUUGCAACAGCUGUGGUCAAAAGCCGGAUGUUUUGGAGAUGCCAUGUUUGAUUAAUUAAUUAAUCAUCUUUUGUGGUGCCAUUAGUUCUGAUCCUGGGCUAGGAGGAUUUAAUAUUCUUAAUCAUGCUUUCAUGCAAAUUGACCCAGUUCGUCCGUUGAUUGAUUACUGGACUCCGAGUUGCAUUGCUUAUUUUGGUAAGUGAGAACGUAUGACUGUAAUUCUGCAUACAUCAUCAUGCUAUUUCCUCCUAAUUUAUAUAUGAAGAUUAAGUGUCCUUUUUUACCUAAAAUUUACUUGAAUAUUUAACUGAGAAUUACUUCAUUGUGUGUCAUGCCUAUCUUAUUCCAUCCACAUGAUCUAUGGACCACAGAUAUAGUUCUCAAUCCAAGGAGAGUCCGAAAACUAAUAAUUUGUGCCUUGAAUAACGAAUGUAAUUUUUUUGUUCUAAUCUUGAAACUUUGGCUAAUGUGAUAAUAUUGGUGUCACGGUGGUCUUCAUAGUUGUAGUGAGUACAAUCUAACAGAAGCAAAAGUCUCUAUUGAUUGUUGUAGGAGAUCCAGAAAGCGGAGCAUUGGGGCACUCUGAUUUUUAAGAAGCUCCAUGCACGUAUUAAGGCCAGUAAAUUCAAUUUGUUUCUCAUCUGCUUCUCUAUGGUCUGUUGUCCUUAUUCGAUCUGUUAUUCAGGUAUGUGUUGUUAACGCUCCUAAUUUUGGGAGAAUCAGAAAAAAAUAAGUUUUGCAAGUUACGUCAUAUUUCCAUGUUUUAGUAUGAGAUUUAGAUAUAUUGUUUCUCCGGUUCCAUAUUCAUUAUAUGUUUUUCUCCUAUAAUUGGCCUGCUUGUUUACACAAGUCUGAAUUCCUAAAGGUUCAAGAGUAUUUCAAUGUUGCUAAAGAAAGAUACAAGGAUCAGUGCCGUAACAUUGUUGAAAGACAAUCAGACACAGUAUGCUUUUAACUUGCCAUUUCCUUACUGACUAAACCUGAGUACAUGACUAUUUUCAGUUUUCUAAUUCAUUGGAGCUGUGCUAAUCUCCUCACUCCUUGCCCUGAUGUAGGACACCAUGCAGCAGCACUGCACCCUGCAGUGCAUGCUCUGCUCACCAUGACCUGCCUCCUCAUCAUCAGACAUACUCAUGUGUACUAGGAUCUCCUCACCAUCAAAGUUCAUGUGUCCUCUAGAUCAAGCCUAUGCAUGUGAGCCGAAGAAUUGUUUGCCUGUUCACAAUUGGUGAUUGAAGGGUGGCCGGUGACUUCCAUAAUUUUCUUGUAGUUGUUUGUUGGAUAAUCUUUAAAAUUAGGAUUGUAGAGAACUUUACAUUACUGUAAAACUUCGUCUUCUUGGUGUUGAUGCUUACAUAUUCCAUUAUGCUAACUCAGCAACACUUUUAGCAGAAAUUGGUUGUUUAUGCAGACACGCGGUGUAGUAAAAUUGAAGAUUUAGCUCCCGCAUUGCAUACUUAUGCUAUGUUGUAGUAAUGUUCUAUCCAUGAAUUAUAUACAGCAGACUGUAUGUUCAGCCUCCACGUUCAUUUCUUUGAUCUCCUCAGGUUUCGCAGAGGAUUUAGUUGUACAUAUGUGCCAAUAUACCUAUGUGAGCCUCCCUGAAUUAUGUCGAUAUCUAU
This 2105-nucleotide long non-coding RNA is filed under the name Triticum aestivum (bread wheat). RNAcentral's name for it is "long non-coding RNA (TAES_LNC010524)". The record is from RNAcentral. Lineage: Eukaryota; Viridiplantae; Streptophyta; Magnoliopsida; Poales; Poaceae.